RNAcentral lists this ribosomal RNA (1446 nucleotides) under Staphylococcus aureus. RNAcentral's name for it is "bacterial SSU rRNA". It matches the Rfam family "Bacterial small subunit ribosomal RNA". RNAcentral also lists the same sequence under 1 other name. The record is from RNAcentral. Lineage: Bacteria; Bacillati; Bacillota; Bacilli; Caryophanales; Staphylococcaceae.
AGAGUUUGAUCCUGGCUCAGGAUGAACGCUGGCGGCGUGCCUAAUACAUGCAAGUCGAGCGAACGGACGAGAAGCUUGCUUCUCUGAUGUUAGCGGCGGACGGGUGAGUAACACGUGGAUAACCUACCUAUAAGACUGGGAUAACUUCGGGAAACCGGAGCUAAUACCGGAUAAUAUUUUGAACCGCAUGGUUCAAAAGUGAAAGACGGUCUUGCUGUCACUUAUAGAUGGAUCCGCGCUGCAUUAGCUAGUUGGUAAGGUAACGGCUUACCAAGGCAACGAUGCAUAGCCGACCUGAGAGGGUGAUCGGCCACACUGGAACUGAGACACGGUCCAGACUCCUACGGGAGGCAGCAGUAGGGAAUCUUCCGCAAUGGGCGAAAGCCUGACGGAGCAACGCCGCGUGAGUGAUGAAGGUCUUCGGAUCGUAAAACUCUGUUAUUAGGGAAGAACAUAUGUGUAAGUAACUGUGCACAUCUUGACGGUACCUAAUCAGAAAGCCACGGCUAACUACGUGCCAGCAGCCGCGGUAAUACGUAGGUGGCAAGCGUUAUCCGGAAUUAUUGGGCGUAAAGCGCGCGUAGGCGGUUUUUUAAGUCUGAUGUGAAAGCCCACGGCUCAACCGUGGAGGGUCAUUGGAAACUGGAAAACUUGAGUGCAGAAGAGGAAAGUGGAAUUCCAUGUGUAGCGGUGAAAUGCGCAGAGAUAUGGAGGAACACCAGUGGCGAAGGCGACUUUCUGGUCUGUAACUGACGCUGAUGUGCGAAAGCGUGGGGAUCAAACAGGAUUAGAUACCCUGGUAGUCCACGCCGUAAACGAUGAGUGCUAAGUGUUAGGGGGUUUCCGCCCCUUAGUGCUGCAGCUAACGCAUUAAGCACUCCGCCUGGGGAGUACGACCGCAAGGUUGAAACUCAAAGGAAUUGACGGGGACCCGCACAAGCGGUGGAGCAUGUGGUUUAAUUCGAAGCAACGCGAAGAACCUUACCAAAUCUUGACAUCCUUUGACAACUCUAGAGAUAGAGCCUUCCCCUUCGGGGGACAAAGUGACAGGUGGUGCAUGGUUGUCGUCAGCUCGUGUCGUGAGAUGUUGGGUUAAGUCCCGCAACGAGCGCAACCCUUAAGCUUAGUUGCCAUCAUUAAGUUGGGCACUCUAAGUUGACUGCCGGUGACAAACCGGAGGAAGGUGGGGAUGACGUCAAAUCAUCAUGCCCCUUAUGAUUUGGGCUACACACGUGCUACAAUGGACAAUACAAAGGGCAGCGAAACCGCGAGGUCAAGCAAAUCCCAUAAAGUUGUUCUCAGUUCGGAUUGUAGUCUGCAACUCGACUACAUGAAGCUGGAAUCGCUAGUAAUCGUAGAUCAGCAUGCUACGGUGAAUACGUUCCCGGGUCUUGUACACACCGCCCGUCACACCACGAGAGUUUGUAACACCCGAAGCCGGUGGAG